CAAGCAGUUUCUAGUGUGUCCGGCACUGUUGGUGUCGAACUGCCUUGCGAUUCCCUGGGACUUAACGAGGAGAUACUUUGCACUGGCAACAUAAAGUUGAAAGCGCCAAGCACACUUGAGCUUGAGGAGUGUGUUGGCGACUACCUCCAGACUUGCAAAAAUAAAAAGCCAGUAACCGAACCAACGAUAACAGGCCUCGUCAGAAUAAUCGCGUGCCUCAUCUCAACCGCCCUGCAUACCAGUCCUGCCGAUGAAGCUCAAGACUUGGCAUGCCUCCUCGUAAGACUGCCAGCUACAGUUAUUGGGAGCCCGGCAUAUCACACAUUGGAACCAUUUGUUGAUGCAAUCUCUCAGGCUUUCAACAUAGAUUGCAGUUCCACUGUGUUCUGCUGAGAUUCGCGAUACUCACUUGUUAUCCUCUGCGAAGCUCGAGAAACCUACAUACAAGAACACGAGAUCUUCACAAUAUGUACUAAUGCGUUAUCAACAAUAUAC
Long non-coding RNA from Rhipicephalus sanguineus (brown dog tick), 495 nucleotides. RefSeq lists it as uncharacterized. NCBI's taxonomy places the organism in Eukaryota, Metazoa, Arthropoda, Arachnida, Ixodida, Ixodidae. The record is from RefSeq and is a predicted model, not a curated record. The transcript has 4 exons.